Molecule: unclassified non-coding RNA, 206 nt
Filed under: Hevea brasiliensis (rubber tree)
Lineage: Eukaryota; Viridiplantae; Streptophyta; Magnoliopsida; Malpighiales; Euphorbiaceae
Source: RNAcentral
AGCGAGCCAAAGUCCCGCGGGUGUCCAGACCGCGGCACUCAAAGCUAGACCGACGGAUAGCAGAAUGAAUCCGUCGAACAGUCGCCGCCGUCGAGCCGGACCUGAUGCGCGCGGUAGCCGUCAGGGAAACUCAGCCAGUAGUCCUUUGCGAGUUCGAGACCGCCGCCCGGUUUCACAUUCGCCAUCACCUCGGCGCCCGGGAUUCC